CCACCGCGGUUAUACGAAAGACCCUAGUUGAUAGCUACGGCGUAAAGGGUGGUUAAGGGAUAUAGAAAAUAAAGCUAAAGAUCCUCUAAGCCGUCAUACGCACUCCGAGGACACGAAGCCCCAACACGAAAGUAGCUUUAAAUAAACUUAAACCUGACCCCACGAAAGCUAAGAAACAAACUGGGAUUAGAUACCCCACUAUGCUUAGCCUUAAACCUAGAUGUAAUAUUACAUAUACAUCCGCCCGGGUACUACGAGCACAGCUUAAAACCCAAAGGACUUGGCGGUGUCUCAGACCCACCUAGAGGAGCCUGUUCUAGAACCGAUAACCCCCGUUAAACCUCACCACUUCUUGUUUUCCCCGCCUAUAUACCGCCGUCGCCAGCUUACCCUGUGAAGGCCUAGCAGUAAGCAAAAUGGGCUCGCCCAAAAACGUCAGGUCGAGGUGUAGCGCACGAAGUGGGAAGAAAUGGGCUACAUUUUCUACAGCAGAAUAUUACGAACGGCACCCUGAAACAAGUGCCCGAAGGUGGAUUUAGUAGUAAAAAGCAAAUAGAGAGUCCUUUUGAAUUAGGCUCUGAGACGCGCACACACCGCCCGUCACUCUCCCCUCAUAUAUUAAACUCAAACCCGACAUUCCUAAUCAAACAUUUCCUAGCACGGGGAGGCAAGUCGUAACAUG
RNAcentral lists this ribosomal RNA (682 nucleotides) under Pangasius macronema. Its description in RNAcentral is "partial 12S ribosomal RNA". It matches the Rfam family "Bacterial small subunit ribosomal RNA", at positions 512 to 1495 of the family's 1533-position model. Lineage: Eukaryota; Metazoa; Chordata; Actinopteri; Siluriformes; Pangasiidae. The record is from RNAcentral.